AAGUGCAUGAAGAGUUUGUAAUUUUGUGUUCCCCAAAAACAUGGACGUAUUGGCUUCAUUGGAAAAGUGGCUGAGGAUGCAACUUUACUGCCUUGUAUUCACACAGGCUUGUGUCGGGUCCCGCUGUGAAUUGACUGUGGAAAAUAUACUCCAGUCUGCCGGCCGCUCCCCGUGUCCUUGAUUUAUCCGAAUAGGAUGUGGCUGAUGGGCGCACGUAAAGCAGUCUGAAUGGCCCAGAGGCUGCUCUGGCAAGAGAGAAGAGGGAGGGAGGCGCUGCAGCUUAUGAAGAUGUGGUUGAGGUUUCGGGGACGUCACGGCAUGGAGAAAAACUUCCUGUUCGCAAAUGAAUGGGCAACCGCACUUGCAGCAUUCUUUGAUGACAGUCUUGCCUAAGCAGUUUUCAGAGCGCACGAAUGUGACGGAAGAAAGCAUCCGCAGAAGAGGAAGGAGAAACGUGGCUUAACCUUCUGCUCAUCUCUCCACUCUCAGAGUUCUGGUGUCAGAGAACAAAAUCACGUGUGCAAUUUUACUAUGAAUAAUUGAUUCCUAUUAUGAACAUAUUGAAUAUGUUCAUUUAUUUUGUUCGCCCCCCCCCCAAAAAAACGUUGAAAAAAUGAUAAACAAGCGCUAAUGAAAAACGAGGCAGCUUUGCAAUUGACUAUGCAAUGCAAGCAUGGCUUCUCUGUUCAGGCUGCUCAGUACAAUCCUGUUUGGCUAAAUCAACAAUGAAUUAAGUGAGCUGCAUUUAACGUUGGUGUUGACCCAUAUGUAAAAAUUGACUUUUCUAAAACUUGUAUAACAGUGUAAAAUUGUUGACCAAAAGAGUGCCUGUAAGGUAAAAAUUGUUUUAUGUGGAGAUACUAUUUUGGUGUAUAGG
Molecule: long non-coding RNA, 877 nt
Organism: Syngnathus acus (greater pipefish)
Lineage: Eukaryota; Metazoa; Chordata; Actinopteri; Syngnathiformes; Syngnathidae
Exons: 5
Source: RefSeq, a predicted model, not a curated record